UUUUAUUGGGAGGGUCUGGAUUUUAACUUUUUUUAAAUACUGUUAAGUUUUUAUAAAAGGAAAACCAUCUCUAUGUGAUAAUUACCUCUCAAUCCAUUUGUUUUUAAGGAAAUCCCUAUAAAAACAACCACACACACAAAAAAUGCUUCAAUCAGACGCACACAGCUCAAUCACACUGGAAAUAUCUGUCCUUGUACCUGAGCCUGCUCCCCCCCGCCCCCCGACUCAGCUGUGAGAGUUCCUCUGCCCUGGGGGUUGGUCUCACUGGCGUCCUGCCUCCCUGCCCAGUCCCACCCAAAGUGGGUUUUGCACUGGGGCCCUAGCUUUUUGUGCGUCACCCACAAGUUGCACCUUCUCAUCCAGGCACUCACUCAGCAAACACUCGCUGAGUGCCAGCUGGGUGUCAGGCCCCAUGCUGGGUGCUGGGAAAUGCAUCUGUGAACAAGAUAGGCUUGGGUCCUGCUCUUGGAGCACUGACAGUGGGACUCAGUCAAGUCAGGGGGUGCCUAUCUUGAGACCAGAAGUUUUCAUAGUUGGAUCUGAGCCUUUUGAGCCUGGAGCGAUUGCUCUUAUACAAGACCACUAAGGAGGCACAGUGUGUGUGCAGCCUCAGCGCAUCCCUGCCUCUAGCCCAGCGAUUCUCUGCCAAAGCUUGUGGAGGAGGGGGGGAGCCCUCCCCCCACUUCCAUCCGUCUCCCCAGUGCCCUGGCCUUCCUAUUUAUUUUCCCAGUGUAGUGCUUUCCUUGCGUUAAAGGAGAUCUUCCCCUCACCCUUUGGGCCAAUUUACUGGCUACUGACUAAUUUCCCUUAAAUACCAAUUGUGUCAUUAGGGGGUCUUCUCUCCCUACCCCUGCUGACGCACUUCCCCCUUGUUGUCUGCCCUCUGGCAGAGCUUGGCGGGUUAUGGGAGCUGAUGGAACUCAGACUCCUCACUCCCUGCCUCAACCAGCCUCUGGGAUCUGCCGACACUCCUCGACCCAGGGACUACCAAGCCACUAGCCCACUCCCCAGGUGGCCCAGCUGUCCUCACCACACACUCCUCCUCCACCUCCGGGGAAGACUGAGCAGUUUUGGGGGGACGCUCCCAGCCCCACUGCCGCCACUCUUAACCCAAGAGUUAGGAGUUAGAGAGUUGGGGAGAAACUAAAGCUGUGGUUUUGGCUCCCUGAGGCUAACCCUGAUCCAUAGGGCUACCUGCACCUCUGGAUUUUGGAUUCACAGACCAAGUCCAAGCCCGUUCUUACGUCGCCAUCAAGGCCCCCGAACGGCAUUCUCGGUACUUCUGUUUGUUUUUGUACAUUUUAUUAGAAUGGACUGUAAAAUAGCCACUUAGACACUUUACCUCUUCAGUAUGCAAAUGUAAAUAAGUUGUAAUAUAGGAAAUCUUUUGUUUUAAUAUAAGAAUGAGCCUGUCCAAUU
Molecule: long non-coding RNA, 1419 nt
Organism: Bos taurus (domestic cattle)
Lineage: Eukaryota; Metazoa; Chordata; Mammalia; Artiodactyla; Bovidae
Source: Ensembl